ACAACAUUCGGACCGUCGGUCUACCGAGCAAUAUCACCCGCUCGGUGGAAGAUCUUCUCUUUAUGAU
RNAcentral lists this microRNA precursor (67 nucleotides) under Bombyx mori (domestic silkworm). RNAcentral's name for it is "mir-2774 microRNA precursor family". It matches the Rfam family "mir-2774 microRNA precursor family". The record is from Rfam by way of RNAcentral. Lineage: Eukaryota; Metazoa; Arthropoda; Insecta; Lepidoptera; Bombycidae.